This 484-nucleotide ribosomal RNA is filed under the name uncultured bacterium. RNAcentral's name for it is "partial 16S ribosomal RNA". It matches the Rfam family "Bacterial small subunit ribosomal RNA", at positions 30 to 507 of the family's 1533-position model. The record is from RNAcentral.
AUUGAACGCUGGCUGCAGGCCUAACACAUGCAAGUCGAGCGGAUGAAGGGAGCUUGCUCCUGGAUUCAGCGGCGGACGGGUGAGUAAUGCCUAGGAAUCUGCCUGGUAGUGGGGGAUAACGUCCGGAAACGGGCGCUAAUACCGCAUACGUCCUGAGGGAGAAAGUGGGGGAUCUUCGGACCUCACGCUAUCAGAUGAGCCUAGGUCGGAUUAGCUAGUUGGUGGGGUAAAGGCCUACCACGGCGACGAUCCGUAACUGGUCUGAGAGGAUGAUCAGUCACACUGGAACUGAGACACGGUCCAGACUCCUACGGGAGGCAGCAGUGGGGAAUAUUGGACAAUGGGCGAAAGCCUGAUCCAGCCAUGCCGCGUGUGUGAAGAAGGUCUUCGGAUUGUAAAGCACUUUAAGUUGGGAGGAAGGGCAGUAAGUUAAUACCUUGCUGUUUUGACGUUACCAACAGAAUAAGCACCGGCUAACUUCGUG